CCUACGGGGUGCAGCAGUAGGGAAUCUUUCACAAUGGGCGAAAGCCUGAUGGAGCAACGCCGCGUGAAGGAAGACUGCCCUACGGGUUGUAAACUUCUUUUAUAAAGGAAUAAAGUGAGGCACGUGUGCCUUUUUGUGUGUAAUCUAUGAAUAAGCAUCGGCUAACUCCGUGCCAGCAGCCGCGGUAAUACGGCGGAUCCGAGCGUUAUCCGGAUUUAUUGGGUUUAAAGGGAGCGUAGACGGGUGGUUAAGUCAGUUGUGAAAGUUUGCGGCUCAACCGUAGAAAUGCAAUUGAUACUGGCAGUCUUGAGUACAGUAGAGGUAGGCGGAAUUCGUGGUGUAGCGGUGAAAUGCUUAGAUAUCACGCAGAACUCCGAUUGCGAAGGCAGCUUACUAAACUGCCACUGACAUUGAUGCUCGAAAGUGUGGGGAUCAAACAGGAUUAGAUACCCCUGUAGUC
This 460-nucleotide ribosomal RNA is filed under the name uncultured bacterium. RNAcentral's name for it is "partial 16S ribosomal RNA". It matches the Rfam family "Bacterial small subunit ribosomal RNA", at positions 338 to 795 of the family's 1533-position model. The record is from RNAcentral.